This 251-nucleotide ribosomal RNA is filed under the name uncultured bacterium. RNAcentral's name for it is "partial 16S ribosomal RNA". It matches the Rfam family "Bacterial small subunit ribosomal RNA", at positions 525 to 775 of the family's 1533-position model. The record is from RNAcentral.
ACGUAGGGUGCAAGCGUUGUCCGGAAUUACUGGGUGUAAAGGGAGCGCAGGCGGACCGGCAAGUUGGAAGUGAAAACUAUGGGCUCAACCCAUAGAUUGCUUUCAAAACUGCUGGCCUUGAGUAGUGCAGAGGUAGGUGGAAUUCCCGGUGUAGCGGUGGAAUGCGUAGAUAUCGGGAGGAACACCAGUGGCGAAGGCGACCUACUGGGCACCAACUGACGCUGAGGCUCGAAAACAUGGGUAGCAAACAG